CCUACGGGCGGCAGCAGUGGGGAAUAUUGGGCAAUGGGCGCAAGCCUGACCCAGCAACGCCGCGUGAAGGAAGAAGGCUCUCGGGUUGGAAACUUCUUUUUUCAGGGACGAAGAAAGUGACGGUACCUGAGGUAUAAGCCACGGCUAACUACGUGCCAGCAGCCGCGGUAAUACGGAGGAGGCAAGCGUUAUGCGGAUUUAUUGGGUGUAAAGGGCGUGUAGGCGGGAGGGCAAGUCAGAUGUGAAAACUCAGGGCUCAACCCUGAGCCUGCAUUUGAUACUGUGUUUCUUGAGUGCAGGAGAGGCAAUCGGAAUUCAGGGUGUAGCGGUGAAAUGCGUAGAUAUACGGAAGAACACCGAUGGCGAAGGCAGAUUGCUGGACAGUAACUGACGCUGAGGCGCGAAAGCGUGGGGAGCAAACAGGAUUAGAUACCCUUGUAGUC
Molecule: ribosomal RNA, 443 nt
Filed under: uncultured bacterium
Lineage: Bacteria
Description: partial 16S ribosomal RNA
Rfam family: Bacterial small subunit ribosomal RNA
Source: RNAcentral